This is a long non-coding RNA of Stomoxys calcitrans (stable fly), 1197 nucleotides long. RefSeq lists it as uncharacterized. Lineage: Eukaryota; Metazoa; Arthropoda; Insecta; Diptera; Muscidae. The record is from RefSeq and is a predicted model, not a curated record. The transcript has 3 exons.
AUUUACGCAUCAAAAAUUUUUCCAAUUUAAUAUAGAUUUCAGUAUUACAAAUUGAUUUACUAAAACAAAAUUAAACUUUUUUCUCUGACUCCGAACAAUGACAAAUAUAUUUAUUUACAGUGUUUGGCAAAUGUGAUCAUAUUUUUGCAAUCGUGAGUAUUUAUGACUCAGAAGGCAAAUAGAAAAGUAAUGGCUUUUCGGGCGUAACAGGCGUUGGAAUAGCAGAGUUAGGUGCAACAUAUUAGACAUUGACAGAUGUGGGCAUGGGGUGCAGACUCCUACUUCUAACGCUGGGUUGACGAACGGGGUGGUAAUUCGAACUGUUUCCCAUGUCGUAAUGCAAGUCAUUUUUUUGCAAGAAAGAUCCAUUGCUGCCAUAGCCUUUUGACUGAUGGUGUUCAUGAAAGUUUGGAGUAGUACAUGCUAUCGUAUUUGGUUCGUCUUCUGAUGUUAUUGCCCGUGACUUUACGGUACCCAUGCUGGAUACAGCAGCAAACGACGUUUCGACGCCACUGCUGCUUUGUUCUGGGUUAUCCUCUAUGGAACUUAAUGUCGGCCGCAAUGACGAUAUCGCCUCCCACACUGUCCGCUGCACAGUGCAACAAAGUUCCUUUGUCUUUGCCGGACAACUCGAAAGUUUGUCCGCAAAUUCGUUUAAGAUAUCCAAAAUUUAAUUUGUUUCGUCUCACCAAAGCACAAGAUAAAUAUGCAAAUUUGUAAAAAGUAACUUCCUUACUUUUGGUUUCUGGUCAAAAAUGGGUGGAGGACUUGAUUUCUAGACUUUCAACAAUGGAAUUAAAGAAAGAAGAAGAGUUCGUCCAAUCACCAACUAUGUAUACAUCAAACGAAACAGUGAUGACAACGUUAAUAUUUUCGUCGUUUUCUAUUCAGGGAUGCCAAUAAGUUAGAUGAAAAAACAACCAGACCUCACCACACUAUUGGAAAAGAACAACAGGAAUUUAAUAUGAAGGCUACUUAUAUUUCUAUGGUGGUUGGUGAUUGCUUUAACCGAUGGCGAUAGUGCUAAACCACAACAAUUUUGAAAUGAAAGGCUAACUGCAUGUUAUCGACAAAGAAAAGACAUUACCAAGUAUAUGCCAUUUGAAAGGAAAAGCGGAAGUCUUUGUCACCAUCACAGUUGCCAUCUGUUGUCAAACUGGAGGUUGAGCUAGAAGUGGAUGUCUAUGAUAAAUGAAA